CAAAGUAUAGCUUAAACAAAAGCAUCUAGUUUACAC
RNAcentral lists this transfer RNA (36 nucleotides) under Tayassu pecari (white-lipped peccary). Its description in RNAcentral is "partial tRNA-Val". Lineage: Eukaryota; Metazoa; Chordata; Mammalia; Artiodactyla; Tayassuidae. The record is from RNAcentral.